This 164-nucleotide ribosomal RNA is filed under the name Primula egaliksensis. Its description in RNAcentral is "5.8S ribosomal RNA". It matches the Rfam family "5.8S ribosomal RNA". Rfam says of the family: 5.8S ribosomal RNA (5.8S rRNA) is a component of the large subunit of the eukaryotic ribosome. It is transcribed by RNA polymerase I as part of the 45S precursor that also contains 18S and 28S rRNA. Lineage: Eukaryota; Viridiplantae; Streptophyta; Magnoliopsida; Ericales; Primulaceae. The record is from RNAcentral.
AAACAACUCUCGGCAACGGAUAUCUAGGCUCUCGCAUCGAUGAAGAACGUAGCAAAAUGCGAUACUUGGUGUGAAUUGCAGAAUCCCGUGAACCAUCGAGUUUUUGAACGCAAGUUGCGCCCGAAGCCAUUAGGCUGAGGGCACGUCUGCCUGGGCGUCUCAUA